Alligator sinensis (Chinese alligator) is the source of this 678-nucleotide long non-coding RNA. RefSeq lists it as uncharacterized. NCBI's taxonomy places the organism in Eukaryota, Metazoa, Chordata, Crocodylia, Alligatoridae. The transcript has 4 exons. The record is from RefSeq and is a predicted model, not a curated record.
AAACAGGAUUUUUUUUCUGACUCAUGCUAUGUACCAGCUAUAUCUCUCCUUAAGGAUAAAAAGGCAUUAGUGGAAAAACAAUACAUGAAAAGAGUCAGCUGUAUCACCUGGGGAGAGACAAAAACUUCACUCAGAAAACUGUUGGGAGCCAAUGCAGACUCUGGAGCACUGGAGUUAAAUGCCCCUAUCCCCAUUAGAAGGCCAGCUGAUGUGUUCUGCAUCAGCUGCAGCUUCCACAUGGUCUUUGAAGGUAGCCCACAUAGAAUGCAUUGCAAUAGUCUAACCUUGAAGUUACAAAGGCAUGGAUGAUGGUGGUCAGAUCUUCAUCUGAAAGAAGGGGUUGCAGCAUUCUCAACAAAUGGAGUUGGUAAAAGGCACUCCUAACUAACACUACCACCUAAAGAUCCAGGUACAGCAGAGGAUUAAGGACCACUCCAAGGCUGUGAACUGGAGUGACAAGGAUGAAACAAAUACUAAUGAGCCGAUAGAGAGGAGGUUUCUUCCCACCACACAGUCCUACUAGUAAAGACGGUUAAUGCAACCUACUUUUAUCCUUCCAUCCACUCCAUCACAGCCAGACCAUCACCCAUCAACAGAGGCUGAGACCCCAAGGACACUGCCAUGAACCAUGAACAAACCCACCCCAUCAUCUGCCACCAGCCAAACCCGGGUGCAUAA